This is a non-coding RNA of Rhizobiales bacterium 65-79, 50 nucleotides long. Lineage: Bacteria; Pseudomonadati; Pseudomonadota; Alphaproteobacteria; Hyphomicrobiales. The record is from Rfam.
CCGAGCGGAUGCCUCAGUUCGGAACCGACGCCGGUACCCAGCCGGCGCGG